UACGUAUGGUGCAAGCGUUAUCCGGAUUUACUGGGUGUAAAGGGAGCGCAGGCGGCACGGCAAGCCUGAUGUGAAAGCCCGCGGCCCAACCGCGGGACUGCAUUGGGAACUACCGGGCUGGAGUGCCGGAGAGGUAGGCGGAAUUCCUAGUGUAGCGGUGAAAUGCGUAGAUAUUAGGAGGAACACCAGUGGCGAAGGCGGCCUACUGGACGGUGACUGACGCUGAGGCACGAAAGCGUGGGUAUCGAACAGG
This 253-nucleotide ribosomal RNA is filed under the name uncultured bacterium. RNAcentral describes it as "partial 16S ribosomal RNA". It matches the Rfam family "Bacterial small subunit ribosomal RNA", at positions 524 to 776 of the family's 1533-position model. The record is from RNAcentral.